Molecule: long non-coding RNA, 740 nt
Organism: Cyprinus carpio carpio
Lineage: Eukaryota; Metazoa; Chordata; Actinopteri; Cypriniformes; Cyprinidae
Source: Ensembl
CGCAGAUUAGAAACGAUAGCGGAGAAGAAAUCGCAUUUCUGGGGAAAACACAACUCGCUGCCACCGGUCUGUUCCUUACCCUCAUCCAGAAACGUCGAGUAGGACGCGGCGGCAGCGUAGGCAAACAAAGUGCCAUCACAUUUCUAUGGCACCGAAAAAGCAUGGAAUACAACCAUACAAACGUGUUUUGCAUUAGACGUAAAUAAAUUAAAACAGCGGCCAGUAACAAACCUGCUCUUUCUGACUCCAUCGUUUGUGCUGUGCAGUGGGAUUAGAAGAUCAUGCCUUAAUGCCCACAUUGAUCCAGCCAAAGAGGAUUGUCGGAAGAAAAAGCCUUGUUGAAAAGCUUUGAGAGGAACCAGAAUCAGCCAAUCCUUCUCUGUGCUGUUCCUGAAGUUCUGUUCCUGACUGAAUUGCAGUGAGAAAGCUUUCUGCAGUGAAAAGUUCUUAAAAGAACCCUUUUCCACUUUAAAGAACCCUUUUGUGCAAUGGAAAUGUUCUGAAGAUUGUUCGUGAAGCCGUCAAUGCCAAUGAAGAACCUUUAUUAAGAUAUUUUGUCCAUAUGACAUUAUGCAAGAAAAAAAAAAUAUAAUUUGGGAUCAAUGCAUGAGCUAAUAUGGGACAAAACGUCUCUAGCCUGCUCUGAUUUGUGUGUCGUUGUUGCUCUGUAAUAAAUGUAUUGGCCACACUUAACGUGUCACGACAGAGAUAUAAUUCAACCACCCAGGGUGAUAGAACAC